This 402-nucleotide ribosomal RNA is filed under the name uncultured Nitratireductor sp. Its description in RNAcentral is "bacterial SSU rRNA". It matches the Rfam family "Bacterial small subunit ribosomal RNA", at positions 355 to 774 of the family's 1533-position model. The record is from RNAcentral. Lineage: Bacteria; Pseudomonadati; Pseudomonadota; Alphaproteobacteria; Hyphomicrobiales; Phyllobacteriaceae.
UGGGGAAUAUUGGACAAUGGGCGAAAGCCUGAUCCAGCCAUGCCGCGUGAGUGAUGAAGGCCCUAGGGUUGUAAAGCUCUUUCACCGGUGAAGAUAAUGACGGUAACCGGAGAAGAAGCCCCGGCUAACUUCGUGCCAGCAGCCGCGGUAAUACGAAGGGGGCUAGCGUUGUUCGGAAUUACUGGGCGUAAAGCGCACGUAGGCGGAUUGUUAAGUGAGGGGUGAAAUCCCAGGGCUCAACCCUGGAACUGCCUCUCAUACUGGCAAUCUCGAGUUCGAGAGAGGUGAGUGGAAUUCCGAGUGUAGAGGUGAAAUUCGUAGAUAUUCGGAGGAACACCAGUGGCGAAGGCGGCUCACUGGCUCGAUACUGACGCUGAGGUGCGAAAGCGUGGGGAGCAAACA